RNAcentral lists this ribosomal RNA (298 nucleotides) under uncultured bacterium. RNAcentral describes it as "partial 16S ribosomal RNA". It matches the Rfam family "Bacterial small subunit ribosomal RNA", at positions 333 to 624 of the family's 1533-position model. The record is from RNAcentral.
UGCCACCUACGGGACGCAGCAGUAGGGAAUUUUCGUCAAUGGGCGCAAGCCUGAACGAGCAAUGCCGCGUGAACGAGGAAGGUCUUCGGAUCGUAAAGUUCUGUUGAAGGGGAAAAAGAGCGGAGAGAGGAAAUGAACUCCGAUUGAUAUUACCCUUCGAGGAAGUCACGGCUAACUACGUGCCAGCAGCCGCGGUAAUACGUAGGUGGCGAGCGUUAUCCGGAAUGAUUGGGCGUAAAGGGUGCGUAGGCGGCCUGCUAAGUCUGGAGUGAAAGGUACCGGCUCAACCGGUACAGGC